This 85-nucleotide non-coding RNA is filed under the name Clostridium saccharobutylicum. Lineage: Bacteria; Bacillati; Bacillota; Clostridia; Eubacteriales; Clostridiaceae. The record is from RNAcentral.
GAACGCCGGAUGCGGUGAAAGUAGUACGUCCGGUGUGGAGGAGGGGAAAAGAAAGAGAUAAUAUCAAGUCCUUACCUAUUCCUAU